UGAUGCAGCCGACGCCGCGUGAGGGAUGACGGCCUUCGGGUUGUAAACCUCUUUCAGUAGGGAAGAAGCGAAAGUGACGGUACCUGCAGAAGAAGCGCCGGCUAACUACGUGCCAGCAGCCGCGGUAAUACGUAGGGCGCAAGCGUUAUCCGGAAUUAUUGGGCGUAAAGAGCUCGUAGGCGGUUUGUCGCGUCUGCCGUGAAAGUCCGGGGCUCAACUCCGGAUCUGCGGUGGGUACGGGCAGACUAGAGUGAUGUAGGGGAGACUGGAAUUCCUGGUGUAGCGGUGAAAUGCGCAGAUAUCAGGAGGAACACCGAUGGCGAAGGCAGGUCUCUGGGCAUUAACUGACGCUGAGGAGCGAAAGCAUGGGGAGCGAACAGGAUUAGAUACCCUGGUAGUCCAUGCCGUAAACGUUGGGCACUAGGUGUGGGGGACAUUCCACGUUUUCCGCGCCGUAGCUAACGCAUUAAGUGCCCCGCCUGGGGAGUACGGCCGCAAGGGUAAAACUU
Molecule: ribosomal RNA, 509 nt
Filed under: bacterium
Lineage: Bacteria
Description: bacterial SSU rRNA
Rfam family: Bacterial small subunit ribosomal RNA
Source: RNAcentral